RNAcentral lists this ribosomal RNA (612 nucleotides) under uncultured bacterium. RNAcentral describes it as "bacterial SSU rRNA". The stretch from base 1 to 519 matches the Rfam family "Bacterial small subunit ribosomal RNA", at positions 338 to 873 of the family's 1533-position model. The record is from RNAcentral.
CCUACGGGAGGCAGCAGUGGGGAAUAUUGGACAAUGGGCGAAAGCCUGAUCCAGCAAUGCCGCGUGAGUGAUGAAGGCCUUAGGGUUGUAAAGCUCUUUUACCAGGGAUGAUAAUGACAGUACCUGGAGAAUAAGCUCCGGCUAACUCCGUGCCAGCAGCCGCGGUAAUACGGAGGGAGCUAGCGUUGUUCGGAAUUACUGGGCGUAAAGCGUGCGUAGGCGGUGAUUCAAGUCAGAGGUGAAAGCCUGGAGCUCAACUCCAGAACGGCCUUUGAAACUAGAUCGCUAGAAUUAUGGAGAGGUAAGUGGAAUUCCGAGUGUAGAGGUGAAAUUCGUAGAUAUUCGGAAGAACACCAGUGGCGAAGGCGACUUACUGGACAUAUAUUGACGCUGAGGUACGAAAGCGUGGGGAGCAAACAGGAUUAGAUACCCUGGUAGUCCACGCCGUAAACGAUGAUAACUAGCUGUUCGGGCUCUCAGAGCUUGUGUGGCGCAGCUACGACAUUAAGUUAGUCCGCCGUGGGAGGUACGGUCGGCGAAGUAAUUAAACUACUUAAUUAGUAGUUAGUUAGGCGUUGAGACGUGCCGACGGACGACGACGAGGGGAGGAGG